RNAcentral lists this ribosomal RNA (502 nucleotides) under Staphylococcus aureus. Its description in RNAcentral is "partial 23S ribosomal RNA". It matches the Rfam family "Bacterial large subunit ribosomal RNA", at positions 1 to 495 of the family's 2925-position model. Lineage: Bacteria; Bacillati; Bacillota; Bacilli; Caryophanales; Staphylococcaceae. The record is from RNAcentral.
AGAUUAAGUUAUUAAGGGCGCACGGUGGAUGCCUUGGCACUAGAAGCCGAUGAAGGACGUUACUAACGACGAUAUGCUUUGGGGAGCUGUAAGUAAGCUUUGAUCCAGAGAUUUCCGAAUGGGGAAACCCAGCAUGAGUUAUGUCAUGUUAUCGAUAUGUGAAUACAUAGCAUAUCAGAAGGCACACCCGGAGAACUGAAACAUCUUAGUACCCGGAGGAAGAGAAAGAAAAUUCGAUUCCCUUAGUAGCGGCGAGCGAAACGGGAAGAGCCCAAACCAACAAGCUUGCUUGUUGGGGUUGUAGGACACUCUAUACGGAGUUACAAAGGACGACAUUAGACGAAUCAUCUGGAAAGAUGAAUCAAAGAAGGUAAUAAUCCUGUAGUCGAAAAUGUUGUCUCUCUUGAGUGGAUCCUGAGUACGACGGAGCACGUGAAAUUCCGUCGGAAUCUGGGAGGACCAUCUCCUAAGGCUAAAUACUCUCUAGUGACCGAUAGUGAAC